AGGAUUGAACGAGAUGGUGCUAGAAGGGCUCGCUUAGCACCGCGCCCUGUGUUCAGACACUGCAGGAUCCAUCAUCAUCAUCCCUGUUGACUCAGGCUAGGCGAACCUCGGCGUCACCAUCCGCAAAAGAGGAACAGUAUCCGCCCUGUACCUUGCUUCAUGGGAUUGUGGUGGAUUUGAAUGAAAUGUAUGCAGAGCUUGCACUGUGUCUGGCACGCUGAGAAUAGCCAAGGACUGUUGUCCUUUAUAUUGUUCUUGAGCCUGUACUGUGCCGGCGUAGGCAGACACCAGGACAUCCUGCUGCCUCUAAUAAUACCGUCACCCCCACGUCCUAGAGCUUUAUGCCUAGAUGGGGUGCAGACUGCACCAAGUCUCCCGUUUUCUCGUUUUCUAGAGAGAACUCGUGCAGUGGGGAUUGCUACUUUCAGAAGGAAACUGGAGAAGGUCGUGAACAUUCACCCCAGUCCUUUUUAUCCAGCGAGAUUCACGCCUGGAAAACUGCUGUCUGGUCAGAAAGACUUUGCUGAGAAGAGCCAAGAGCUGAAACCCAGCCGAGGUGUUUCAGGAAAGAGUUUCUGUGGGACAGGAAACAAGGAAGAGCUUGACUGAACAGUUCUGGGUCUCAAGCAGUUGCCGUCAGAUGAUGGCUGGAGCUAGGAGAGGAGAGGGCUGCAGCAGCUGGAGGCCGGCUGGAACUCUCCCACCCCUCGUAGGCAUGUGCUUUCUCCACGUGGGAGAGUAUGGGCUUCCUCACAGCAUGGCGGCCGCAGCACCAUCAGCGUGCUUACAUGGUGGUCCAGGGCUCUGAUGAGAGUGCUCAACUCACAUGGCAGAACUGAAUUGCCUUUUAUGGCCUCACACUGAAGUCAGACGGCAUCACUUCCAUGCAUUCUGUUGGUUAUAAGUGAGUCAGAAGCUUACCUAGUUUCAAGGGGAAG
RNAcentral lists this long non-coding RNA (938 nucleotides) under Equus caballus (horse). Its description in RNAcentral is "lncRNA (ENSECAG00000042203.2)". Lineage: Eukaryota; Metazoa; Chordata; Mammalia; Perissodactyla; Equidae. The record is from RNAcentral.